UAAAAACGAUCAUUAUAUGUGCUAUAUUUUUUUUACUUUUUUUUGACCAAACGAUACAUAUACAUAUGGACUGAAUUUGAGCACUUAACAAAGCAAGAAAAUAUUAAAUUCGUAUUUAACCAGUUGGCCAUUGGCGGUGAUCGGAAAAUGCAUACCGGUUCCUGAAACUCCGGUCAGCCAGUACUUCAGAAUAAACCGAUGGAGAAGGAACUCAUCAGGUUAAUAAAAACUAGUUUGAAAAGAGAAGCAAGUCAAAAAAAUACCAGAAGUGGAUUUAGUAGUAUCCAACCUGUGAAUACUUUUAUACUACUAUUUUGCCUUCUCUCUGCCCACGUACUAUCGCAAAAUGCUUUCUUCCUUUUUUGUUAAAUUCAUCAAACAAAUGCAAAA
This is a long non-coding RNA of Raphanus sativus (radish), 390 nucleotides long. RefSeq lists it as uncharacterized. The record is from RefSeq and is a predicted model, not a curated record. NCBI's taxonomy places the organism in Eukaryota, Viridiplantae, Streptophyta, Magnoliopsida, Brassicales, Brassicaceae. The transcript has 2 exons.